Dactylonectria estremocensis is the source of this 127-nucleotide non-coding RNA. The record is from the annotation of a GenBank genome assembly. Lineage: Eukaryota; Fungi; Ascomycota; Sordariomycetes; Hypocreales; Nectriaceae.
AGCAAUUUGGCGCAGUGGAAGCGCGGUAUGUUACUAGAAUCAGCAUAAAGAUAUCUGAACGUGUCACUAACUCAUCCAAGCCGGGCUCAUAACCCGGAGGUCGCACGAUCGAAACGUGCAAUUGCUA